This 324-nucleotide unclassified non-coding RNA is filed under the name Hevea brasiliensis (rubber tree). The record is from RNAcentral. Lineage: Eukaryota; Viridiplantae; Streptophyta; Magnoliopsida; Malpighiales; Euphorbiaceae.
UUGAAUGCUUGUUAUAUGCAUUUCACCAUAAGUAAAGUUCAUCUCUUCUCCAGUCUUCCUCCGAGGCAUGUAAUUCUUUAAUAACUGCACGAUAGAAGGAAGAAUCUGGCGUGAAUCCUGUGGCAGAGUGUAAGGCGAAAUUUCUGCAAGUGCUUUGAGCAAAUCAAGCUUUCGUUCCUCAGGAAGCUUAUCAAAAACAGGUAGCUUGUUCAAAUAGUUCAAAAACUUGCUGCCUGAUGCACCCCGCAGAAAAAAUGGAAGUGCCAUAUAAAGGCAUGAUAUCAGCCUGUCAAUAUGCUCUCCAUCUGAAACAUUGAAUUGUGC